AUUUUUUUUGUAGGGAAAACUCGGUUUUUAUACGGAAAAUUUGGUUUUUGUAGGGAAAUUCGGUUUUUAUACAGAAAAUUCGGUUUUUGUAGGGAAAAUUCGGGUUUUGCAGGGAAAAUUCGGUUUUUGUAGGGAAAAUUCGGUUUUUAUAAGCAAAAUUCGGUCUUUGCAGAGAAAAUUCGUUUUUUGUAGGGAAAAUUCGGUUUUUAUAAGCAAAAUUUAGUUUUUGUAGGGAAAAUUCGGUUUUUGCAGAGAAAAUUCGAUUUUUUUGUAGGGAAAAUUCGGUUUUUAUAUGGAAAACUCGGUUUUUGUAGGGAAAUUCGGUUUUUAUAGGGAAAAUUCAGUUUUUGUAGGGAAAAUUCGGUUUUUGCAGAGAAAAUUCGAUUUUUUGGUAGGGAAAAUUCAGUUUUUAUAGGGAAAACUCGGUUUUUGUAGGGAAAUUCGGUUUUUAUACAGAAAAUUCGGUUUUUAUAGGGAAAAUUCGGUUUUUGCAGGGAAAACUCGGUUUUUAUAUGGAAAAUUUGGUUUUUGUAGAGAAAAUUCAUUUUUAAUAGGGAAAAUUCAGUUUUUAUAGGGAAAAUUUGGUUUUGGCAGGGAACUUCCUCCUCCUCCUCUUCCUCCUCAUUGUCCCCAUGUCUGGAGGUGACGCCUUCCUCCCCCUCCUCCUCCUCCUCCUCCUCGUUGUUCCUACACCCAGAGCUGCCUUCCUCCUCCUCCUCCUCCUCCUUCUUCUCCUUCCUCCUCCUCCUCCUCGUUGUUCAUACACCCAGAGCUGCCUUCCUCCUCCUCCUCCUCCUCCUCCUCUUUCUUCUCCUCCACCUUCUUGUUGUCCCCUAUGUCCAAAUGUGACGCCUUCCUCCUCCUCGUUCUUCUCCUCUUCCUCCUCCUCCUCCUUCUCCUC
RNAcentral lists this long non-coding RNA (901 nucleotides) under Lonchura striata (white-rumped munia). Its description in RNAcentral is "domestica (Bengalese finch) lncRNA (ENSLSDG00000003242.1)". Lineage: Eukaryota; Metazoa; Chordata; Aves; Passeriformes; Estrildidae. The record is from RNAcentral.